AGGUACCUGAGUAUAUGGGGAUGAAUGGAAUAGAUUCAAUGUCGAGGUUAUGAGAAAAGUAAAAGGGGGGAAUAUUUCCCCCCUGAGCCUUAACU
This 95-nucleotide small RNA is filed under the name Erwinia tasmaniensis. RNAcentral describes it as "sraA". It matches the Rfam family "sraA". Lineage: Bacteria; Pseudomonadati; Pseudomonadota; Gammaproteobacteria; Enterobacterales; Erwiniaceae. The record is from Rfam by way of RNAcentral.